GACGAACGCUGGCGGCGUGCUUAACACAUGCAAGUCGAACGCUGAAGCUCAGCUUUUGUUGGGUGGAUGAGUGGCGAACGGGUGAGUAACACGUGAGUAACCUGCCCCCUUCUUUGGGAUAACGCCCGGAAACGGGUGCUAAUACUGGAUAUUCACUGGUCUUCGCAUGGGGGUUGGUGGAAAGGGUUUUUCUGGUGGGGGAUGGGCUCGCGGCCUAUCAGCUUGUUGGUGGGGUGAUGGCCUACCAAGGCUUUGACGGGUAGCCGGCCUGAGAGGGUGACCGGUCACAUUGGGACUGAGAUACGGCCCAGACUCCUACGGGAGGCAGCAGUGGGGAAUAUUGCACAAGGGGCGCAAGCCUGAUGCAGCGACGCCGCGUGAGGGAUGGAGGCCUUCGGGUUGUGAACCUCUUUCGCUCAUGGUCAAGCCGCAACAAUGGUUGUGGUGAGGGUAGUGGGUAAAGAAGCGCCGGCUAACUACGUG
This 483-nucleotide ribosomal RNA is filed under the name uncultured bacterium. Its description in RNAcentral is "partial 16S ribosomal RNA". It matches the Rfam family "Bacterial small subunit ribosomal RNA", at positions 28 to 507 of the family's 1533-position model. The record is from RNAcentral.